This 253-nucleotide ribosomal RNA is filed under the name uncultured bacterium. RNAcentral's name for it is "partial 16S ribosomal RNA". It matches the Rfam family "Bacterial small subunit ribosomal RNA", at positions 524 to 776 of the family's 1533-position model. The record is from RNAcentral.
UACGAAGGGUGCGAGCGUUGUUCGGAAUUACUGGGCGUAAAGCGCGUGUAGGCGGCUAAGUAAGUCGGGCGUGAAAUCCCACGGCUCAACCGUGGAAGUGCACUCGAAACUGCAUAGCUAGAGUCCUGGAGAGGAAGGUGGAAUGCUUGGUGUAGAGGUGAAAUUCGUAGAUAUCGGGAGGAACACCGGUGGCGAAGGCGGCGAUCUGGGUCGAUACUGACGCUGAGGUGCGAAAGCGUGGGGAGCAAACAGG